Molecule: transfer RNA, 68 nt
Filed under: Phelsuma guttata
Lineage: Eukaryota; Metazoa; Chordata; Lepidosauria; Squamata; Gekkonidae
Description: tRNA-Tyr
Source: RNAcentral
GAUAGUGAGUGGAUUAGAACCACUGAGGGCGAGGCUACAACUCGCUGCCUAUCCUCGGCCACUCUACC